AUCCCAUGGUGAGGACAAACUCUUGUGUAUCCUUUCAUACGCUCCCAUGCAUCAUACAAACUCUCUUUUUCGCCUUGCUCAAACCUAGCAAUACCAUUCAUUAUCCU
Molecule: non-coding RNA, 107 nt
Organism: Arabis alpina (gray rockcress)
Lineage: Eukaryota; Viridiplantae; Streptophyta; Magnoliopsida; Brassicales; Brassicaceae
Source: Rfam